This 88-nucleotide transfer RNA is filed under the name Acidobacteriota bacterium. Its description in RNAcentral is "Acidobacteria bacterium tRNA-Tyr". It matches the Rfam family "tRNA". Rfam says of the family: Transfer RNA (tRNA) molecules are approximately 80 nucleotides in length. Their secondary structure includes four short double-helical elements and three loops (D, anti-codon, and T loops). The record is from RNAcentral. Lineage: Bacteria; Pseudomonadati; Acidobacteriota. RNAcentral also lists the same sequence under 1 other name.
GCAGGGGUGGCAGAGUGGACAAAUGCACCGGGCUGUAAACCCGGCGGGCUUUGGCCCUUCGGAGGUUCGAAUCCUUCCCCCUGCACCA